GAUGAACGCUGGCGGCGUGCCUAAUACAUGCAAGUCGAGCGAACAGACGAGGAGCUUGCUCCUCUGACGUUAGCGGCGGUCGGGUGAGUAACACGUGGAUAACCUACCUAUCAGACUGGGAUAACUAUGGGAAACCGGAGCUAAUACCGGAUAAUAUAUUGAACCGCAUGGUUCAAUAGUGAAAGACGGUUUUGCUGUCACUUAUAGAUGGAUCCGCGCCGCAUUAGCUAGUUGGUAAGGUAACGGCUUACCAAGGCAACGAUGCUUAGCCGACCUGAGCGGGUGAUCGGCCAGACGGGAACUGAGACACGGUCCAGACUCCUACGGGAGGCAGCAGUAGGGAAUCUUCCGCAAGGGGCGAAAGCCUGACAGAGCAACGUCGCGUGAGGGAUGAAGGUCUUCGGAUCGUAAAGCGCUGUUGUUAGGGAAGAACAAAUGUUUAAGUAACUAUGCACGUCUUGACGGUACCUAAUCAGAAAGCCACGGCUAACUACGUG
Molecule: ribosomal RNA, 497 nt
Filed under: uncultured bacterium
Lineage: Bacteria
Description: partial 16S ribosomal RNA
Rfam family: Bacterial small subunit ribosomal RNA
Source: RNAcentral